UGCCAUGUGGGCGAUCUGGCUGCGACAUCUGUCACCCCAUUGAUCGCCAGAGUUGAUUCGGCUGAUCUGGCUGGCUAGGUGGGUGUCUCCUUCCUCCCUCACCGCUCCAUGUAUGUCCCUCCUGAAGCUGUGCGCUCGCUCGAAGAGGACCACCAUCCCUGCUAGAGGAGGGCCGGUCUUCGGUCAAGGGUAUACGAGUAGCUGCGCUCCCCUGCUAGAACCUCCAAACAAGCUCUCAAGGAAGUCUUGUAUUCUAUAAUGAGGAAUGUAUAAGGAUAAUGGGAAGCCUUUGAAGAGCAGUGAGCAAAGGAGAAACAUUAUCU
RNAcentral lists this small nuclear RNA (323 nucleotides) under Theropithecus gelada (gelada). Its description in RNAcentral is "7SK RNA (ENSTGEG00000017566.1)". The stretch from base 1 to 282 matches the Rfam family "7SK RNA". Rfam says of the family: 7SK was discovered as an abundant small nuclear RNA in the mid-70s but a possible function has only recently been suggested. Two independent studies have found that 7SK RNA binds the CDK9/cyclin T complex (known as elongation factor P-TEFb). The record is from RNAcentral. Lineage: Eukaryota; Metazoa; Chordata; Mammalia; Primates; Cercopithecidae.